This 497-nucleotide ribosomal RNA is filed under the name uncultured bacterium. RNAcentral's name for it is "partial 16S ribosomal RNA". It matches the Rfam family "Bacterial small subunit ribosomal RNA", at positions 28 to 507 of the family's 1533-position model. The record is from RNAcentral.
GACGAACGCUGGCGGCGUGCCUAAUACAUGCAAGUUGAGCGCUGAAGGUUGGUCCUUGUACCAACUGGAUGAGCAGCGAACGGGUGAGUAACGCGUGGGUAAUCUGCCUUUGAGCGGGGGACAACAUUUGGAAACGAAUGCUAAUACCGCAUAAAAACUUUAAACACAAGUUUUAAGUUUGAAAGAUGCAUUUGCAUCACUCAAAGAUGAUCCCGCGUUGUAUUAGCUAGUUGGUGAGGUAAAGGCUCACCAAGGCGAAGAUACAUAGCCGACCUGGGAGGGUGGUCGGCCAAAUUGGGACUGGGACACGGCCCAAACCCCUACGGGAGGGAGCAGGAGGGAAACUUCGGCAAAGGAGGAAAGUCUGACCGAGCAACGCCGGGGGAGUGAAGAAGGGUCUCGGAUCGUAAAACUCUGUUGGUAGAGAAGAACGUGGGUGAGAGUGGAAAGCUCAUCAAGUGACGGUAACUACCCAGAAAGGGACGGCUAACUACGUG